Molecule: ribosomal RNA, 253 nt
Filed under: uncultured bacterium
Lineage: Bacteria
Description: partial 16S ribosomal RNA
Rfam family: Bacterial small subunit ribosomal RNA
Source: RNAcentral
UACGGAGGGGGCUAGCGUUGUUCGGAAUUACUGGGCGUAAAGCGCACGUAGGCGGCUUUGCAAGUCAGAUGUGAAAGCCCCGGGCUCAACCUGGGAAUGGCAUUUGAUACUCUGAGGCUGGAGUACGGGAGAGGAGAGUGGAAUUCCCAGUGUAGAGGUGAAAUUCGUAGAUAUUGGGAAGAACACCGGUGGCGAAGGCGGCUCUCUGGACCGUAACUGACGCUGAGACACGAAAGCGUGGGUAGCAAACAGG